RNAcentral lists this ribosomal RNA (492 nucleotides) under uncultured bacterium. RNAcentral describes it as "partial 16S ribosomal RNA". It matches the Rfam family "Bacterial small subunit ribosomal RNA", at positions 29 to 507 of the family's 1533-position model. The record is from RNAcentral.
AGUGAACGCUGGCGGUAGGCCUAACACAUGCAAGUCGAACGGCAGCACAGUAAGAGCUUGCUCUUACGGGUGGCGAGUGGCGGACGGGUGAGGAAUACAUCGGAAUCUACUUUUUCGUGGGGGAUAACGUAGGGAAACUUACGCUAAUACCGCAUACGACCUACGGGUGAAAGCAGGGGAUCUUCUGACCUUGCGCGAUUGAAUGAGCCGAUGUCGGAUUAGCUAGUUGGCGGGGUAGAGGCCCACCAAGGCGACGAUCCGUAGCUGGUCUGAGAGGAUGAUCAGCCACACUGGAACUGAGACACGGUCCAGACUACUACGGGAGGCAGCAGUGGGGAAUAUUGGACAAUGGGCGCAAGCCUGAUCCAGCCAUACCGCGUGGGUGAAGAAGGCCUUCGGGUUGUAAAGCCCUUUUGUUGGGAAAGAAAAGCAGCAGGUUAAUACCCCGCUGUUCUGACGGUACCCAAAGAAUAAGCACCGGCUAACUUCGUG